UGAGUAGGCGGCUUGUUUAAGUCACAUGUGAAAUUCCGGGGCUCAACCCCGGAACUGCAUGAGAAACUGGAUGGCUUGAGUGCAGGAGAGGUAAGCGGAAUUCCUAGUGUAGCGGUGAAAUGCGUAGAUAUUAGGAAGAACACCAGUGGCGAAGGCGGCUUACUGGACUGUAACUGACGCUGAGACACGAAAGCGUGGGGAGCGAACAGGAUUAGAUACCCUGGUAGUCCACGCUGUAAACGAUGAAUGCUAGGUGUCGGGUAGAGAUAUUCGGUGCCGGAGUUAACACAAUAAGCAUUCCGCCUGGGGAGUACGUACGCAAGUAUGAA
RNAcentral lists this ribosomal RNA (329 nucleotides) under uncultured bacterium. Its description in RNAcentral is "bacterial SSU rRNA". It matches the Rfam family "Bacterial small subunit ribosomal RNA", at positions 568 to 898 of the family's 1533-position model. The record is from RNAcentral.